Molecule: RNA transcript, 2408 nt
Organism: Dipodomys spectabilis (banner-tailed kangaroo rat)
Lineage: Eukaryota; Metazoa; Chordata; Mammalia; Rodentia; Heteromyidae
Gene: Znf274
Gene name: zinc finger protein 274
Exons: 9
Source: RefSeq, a predicted model, not a curated record
UGGCCACCCUUGUUGGGUGUUAACGAGUCUGGCCAGGCUGGGUCGCCGUUCACGGAGACGCUGGGACCCCCGUAGUGUAGUGUCCUCUGCUAGAGACCUCCCGUGUUCUGUGGGGCCCCGACAAGCGUCCUUUCCGCAAAACCGAUUGUCGCCGCCUAGGUGCGGCCGCCGCGGGGGCCUCUGGGAGUUGUAGUCCGGGCCGGCGCUCUGACGCACCUCACCGCGGGGCCCUUUGGCGCCAUUGCGGGGUGCGCGCCUGAACUCUGCCCACUCACGAGGGAGACGCAGAGGGGAGUAUGGCUUUCAGGCGCUCGCCAUCCUGGUCCAAUGAACCAGUGACCUUUGAAGAUAUAGCACUGACUUUUACCCUGGAAGAGAAGGGACUGCUGGACAUCCCACAGAAGUCCUUAUACAGGGAAGUGAUGCUGGAAAACUACAGAAACCUGGUCUCAGUGGAACUUCAUCUUUCCAAGCCAGAUGUGAUAAUACAGUUAGAGAAAGCAGAAGACUGCUGGACAGUGGAAAGAGAGAUUCUUCAAGACACCUUUCCAGAAUGUUCUGGGGCUACACAAGUACCUCAGUUGGGUCUUCCUGCUGAGGAUCCCUUGAUGAAGAUCAAAGUUGUUGAAGUUCUUACCCUGAACCAAGCGGUGGCUGGUCCCCGGAAUGCUCAGAUUCAUGCCCUCUACACUGAAAAUGGAAGCCAGAGUCCAGUCCAACAGCUGGGCAGACAUCCAUCUGACACUGAAGCCGUUCGCCAGAAAUUCCGACACUACCAAUAUGAGAAGUCAACUGGGCCUCAGGAGACCAUUGCUCAGCUUCGUGAUCUGUGUCACCAAUGGCUGCAGCCAGAGCUGCAUUCCAAGGAGCAGAUCCUAGAGAUGCUGGUGCUGGAGCAGUUCCUGGGUGUUCUGCCUGCACAGCUAAACUUGUGGGUUAAGUCACAGCACCCAGAGGACUGCGAAGCAGCAGUGGUCCUAGUGGAAGCACUACUUGCCUGCUCUCCUAAGGCCACUGCCCCACAGAAGGAAGAAAAGGAGGAUGUGGCCAUCUUGCCAGUGGAAGUGCUGCCUGAGGAGCCAGUGACCUUCCAGGACGUGGCCGUGGACUUCAGCCAGGAGGAAUGGGGACUACUGGGCCCAGUGCAGAGGACUGAGUACCGUGAUGUGAUGCUGGAGACCUUAGGGAACCUAGUCUCUGUAGGGUGGGAGACUGCAUUGGGAAGCAAAGAGUUAACUUCAGAUUCUCCCUUUCCUGUGGAAGAAGCAGUUCGUGAUCUAAAAAUGAAAAAGUUUUCAAGGGACAACACCCACCAUUCUUCCUCCGAAGACGAUGUACAAGACAAGGUCCAAGUUGUCCCCAACACAGUGUUGAAACAAGUAGAGUUCACCCGGGAACAAGGCCUCUCUGAAAAGCAGCUCACUGAAAGCCCAGGAUACCAGCCAAGCACUGGUCUCCACACCAGUCAGGGUUCAGUCCAAGACAUUCCUUCCACAAAGGGCUUACGCAAACGUAGCCUGCAGGUUAAAAACAUGGGAGGUAGUCCACGUGUAAAAACCCACAAGAAGGACUGUGAAGUGGGGAGAACCAAGAAGAGCAACAGUUGUGUAGCAAGUGGUUCCCGUGCAAGAAUUCAUCAAAAGGGCUCUACAGGAAGAAAAGCCAAGGAGAGCAGUGGUUUUAGGAAAACAAUAUGCCAUCGAGCUCAGCAGAUUACUUUUAUAAGAAUUCACAAAGGGAGCCAAAUUUGCCGAUGCAGUGAAUGUGGGAAAAUGUUCCGAAACCCAAGAUACUUUUCUGUCCAUAAAAAGAUCCACACAGGAGAAAGGCCCUAUGUGUGUCAGGACUGUGGGAAAGGGUUUGUGCAGAGCUCUUCCCUCACACAGCAUCAGAGAGUUCACAGUGGGGAGAGACCAUUUGAGUGUCACGAGUGUGGGCGGACGUUCAAUGACCGCUCGGCCAUCUCCCAGCACCUGAGGACUCACACUGGAGCCAAGCCCUACCCAUGUCAGGAUUGUGGGAAAGCAUUCCGGCAGAGCUCGCACCUCAUCCGGCACCAGAGGACUCACACCGGGGAGCGCCCCUACGUGUGCAGUAAAUGCGGAAAGGCCUUCACCCAGAGCUCACAUCUUAUUGGGCAUCAGAAAACACACAGUGGGAAAAAGUAUAAGAAGAAGUAGCCCAGUUCACAGCCUUCAAGCCUGUGGAAGCAUUGCUAGCCCUCCUGCCUCAGUCUCCCGAUUGCUGUAUGCACCAUUACUCAUGGAAUUCAAGAAGGUCACCAUACCCCUUGCCUUAUCUUGCUAACCAUAGGAAUGAUGGAUCAUCUGAACAGAAAGACAUACAACUCUGCAGACGGCCCGGACAUCAGGAAAGAGCAGUCCCCAGUCCUGCCUCGGCACAUGAUA